GUGCACGCUGGCGGUAGGCCUAACACAUGCAAGUCGCACGGCAGCACAGUAAGAGCUUGCUCUUACGGGUGGCGAGUGGCGGACGGGUGAGGAAUACAUCGGAAUCUACUUUUUCGUGGGGGAUAACGUAGGGAAACUUACGCUAAUACCGCAUACGACCUACGGGUGAAAGCAGGGGAUCUUCGGACCUUGCGCGAUUGAAUGAGCCGAUGUCGGAUUAGCUAGUUGGCGGGGUAAAGGCCCACCAAGGCGACGAUCCGUAGCUGGUCUGAGAGGAUGAUCAGCCACACUGGAACUGAGACACGGUCCAGACUCCUACGGGAGGCAGCAGUGGGGAAUAUUGGACAAUGGGCGCAAGCCUGAUCCAGCCAUACCGCGUGGGUGAAGAAGGCCUUCGGGUUGUAAAGCCCUUUUGUUGGGAAAGAAAAGCAGCAGGUUAAUACCCCGCUGUUCUGACGGUACCCAAAGAAUAAGCACCGGCUAACUUCGUG
This 491-nucleotide ribosomal RNA is filed under the name uncultured bacterium. RNAcentral describes it as "partial 16S ribosomal RNA". It matches the Rfam family "Bacterial small subunit ribosomal RNA", at positions 29 to 507 of the family's 1533-position model. The record is from RNAcentral.